Molecule: long non-coding RNA, 477 nt
Filed under: Mytilus galloprovincialis (Mediterranean mussel)
Lineage: Eukaryota; Metazoa; Mollusca; Bivalvia; Mytilida; Mytilidae
Source: RNAcentral
CUUUAAUAUAUGUCACUGAGUAAUGGUUACACAUGGAAACUUAAGAUAUAGGAAGGUUUUGAACAUUGAGCACUUUGUGGUCCUAUACUAUUGUCAUUGUUAGUAUUGCUGCUGUGGUAUUUUUAAUGAUAUUAUAUUCCAGAUGUAUUUGUCAAUCCUAUGGAAGAGAAACAACAAAAAGUAGAAUAACAGAAGAAAUGAACCAUAACAGAACGAAACGGAAUGAAACGCACACAAAUUAAAUGGUAGAACAAAAAACACAACACAAAUAAAAAUAACAGUCUAACAGUCGUGACUAUUCACAGUAAUCAUGUUGACUAACCAACAUGGUCACUUCCGACUAUUUCAAUCAGUCAUAUGGACUGCAUUCAAUUGUCAAACUGACAAAUGUGCAUAGUCAAUUGAACAAUCCAAUUCGUCAUAACGAGUAUGACAUAUAGUCAUUUUGACUUCCUAACAUAGUCAUAAUGACCACCC